AGUGCCUGGGCUGGUAAGGGUGAUUGUCCGCGGCCGUGAGGUGGUUUGUCAGCAUAGUCCCCGGGACUCCUGGGAGGUCUCAACAGGAGAUCCUCAGCCCAUUUUACAGAUGGGGGCAGCUGAGGACCCGAGGAAAGAAGUUCUAUUACCUCAAAAUGGCUCAGCUCACUAGGAGCAGAGACUGGAUUUAGGUCAUGGGAAAAGUGUCCAAAUGACCAGGAAGAGGCAGGAAUGGGGCCCAAGGAAAUGGAUCAUGACACCCCCGCUAAAGACAAAGUUCAACUCUGCUGCUGUCUGGCUCCAGCACUCCAAUAAGCAAAGAGUCAGGACCUGCUAAGCUGGCUGGAACAGGACUUCAUGGUGUAACUCAUGAGAGACGACUCAAUGCCAAAGACUGAGGUUACAGCAGGGUGUUUACAGCAGUGGCCAUACUCCAGAGUCCUUGACAACAGGUCUUGAGUCCCAAAGCUCUGAUGGAGAAGCAAAACUCCUUGAUGUGUUACUGACCCCACCGAUUCCAGGGGUCAGGAUUAGCCAGGGAGCCAAACAUCGAGAGUGGGUGUGGCAUGUCACCAGUCCAGAGGCCCUGCCAUGGAUAUAGGCUGGGACCCAGCAUUAGGCAAUCAACAGCCAGAACAUGAUCACCAGGGCCACAAACAGGAAGAGGCGUGAUAGGAACUGCUCAUCCACAUACUGGGGUGUUCCAGGGACAGCUGGAGAGAAAGGAGGGAGAAGAGAGGCUGUCAGAACACUGCAGCUGUGUGCACUGCCUGUCUGAGCCAGAAUUGAGAACAUCAAUCUUCAUCUCUUUAGAACAGAACUCUGCACACUAAAAAGAUUUCCAAACCCCAAAUAACAUCAGGCAAAACAAAACUUGAAUUAUGAAGAUAUGUGGAAUAAUAUAACAAUGAGGACAAGGUCUCCAAUUUAUCCUAAGAGAGUCUGGUCUGCAGAUGUACAUAAAACAGGAAGCUCUUGGAGGAAAUAAUAAAAGAAAAGCUGCUGUUAA
Long non-coding RNA from Panthera uncia (snow leopard), 1009 nucleotides. RefSeq lists it as uncharacterized. The transcript is spliced from 3 exons. NCBI's taxonomy places the organism in Eukaryota, Metazoa, Chordata, Mammalia, Carnivora, Felidae. The record is from RefSeq and is a predicted model, not a curated record.